This 180-nucleotide ribosomal RNA is filed under the name uncultured bacterium. RNAcentral describes it as "partial 16S ribosomal RNA". It matches the Rfam family "Bacterial small subunit ribosomal RNA", at positions 1321 to 1500 of the family's 1533-position model. The record is from RNAcentral.
CGAAGCUGGAAUCGCUAGUAAUCGCGGAUCAGAAUGUCGCGGUGAAUACGUUCCCGGGUCUUGUACACACCGCCCGUCACACCAUGGGAGUCGGGAAUGCCCGAAGUCAGUGACCCAACCUAUUGGAGGGAGCUGCCGAAGGCAGGUCUGAUAACUGGGGUGAAGUCGUAACAAGGUAAC